GAUGAAGAACGUAGCGAAAUGCGAUAAGUAAUGCGAAUUGCAGAAUCCGUGAGUCAUCGAAUCUUUGAACGCACAUUGCGCCCUUUGGUAUUCCGAAGGGCAUGCCUGUUCGAGCGUCAUUAUCACCCCUCAAGCCCCGGCUUGGUGUUGGGCUCUCGGUGGUCGUCUCCGACCACCCGUCUCAAAGAUAGUGACGGCGUCCCAGAGGGAACCGGUACGAGGAGCUUUCACGAGCAUGUACGCGGGACGACUCUGCGGGCGACGGUCUUAUCUACUUUAUAUACAAGUGUUGACCUCGGAUCAGGUAGGAAUACCCGCUGAACUUAAGCAUAUCAAUAAGCGGAGGA
This 347-nucleotide unclassified non-coding RNA is filed under the name soil metagenome. RNAcentral describes it as "partial contains 5.8S ribosomal RNA, internal transcribed spacer 2, and large subunit ribosomal RNA". The stretch from base 1 to 119 matches the Rfam family "5.8S ribosomal RNA", at positions 35 to 154 of the family's 154-position model. The record is from RNAcentral.